UCGUACGGGAUCCGAGGUAGCAAUACUUUGGUGAGAGUGGCGCACGGGUGCGUAACACGUAUGCAACCUACCUUUAACCGGGACACAACCUCGAGAAAUUGAGGCUAAUAUCCCAUAACACUGCGAGAUGGCAUCAUUUUGCAGUUAAAACUCCGGUGGUUAUUGAUGGGCAUGCGCGACAUUAGCUAGUUGGUGAGGUAACGGCCCACCAAGGCUACGAUGUCUAGGGGUUCUGAGAGGAUUAUCCCCCACACUGGUACUGAGACACGGACCAGACUCCUACGGGAGGCAGCAGUAAGGAAUAUUGGUCAAUGGGCGCAAGCCUGAACCAGCCAUGCCGCGUGAAGGAUGACGGCCCUAUGGGUUGUAAACUUCUUUUGUACGGGAAAAAACCACCGGUCGUGUAUCGGUGCUGAUGGUACCGUAAGAAUAAGCAUCGGCUAACUCCGUGCCAGCAGCCGCGGUAAUACGGAGGAUGCAAGCGUUAUCCGGAUUCAUUGGGUUUAAAGGGUGCGCAGGCGGAGUGAUAAGUCAGUGGUGAAAGCCUACAGCUUAACUGUAGAACUGCCAUUGAUACUGUCAUUCUUGAGUAUUGCUGAGGUAGGCGGAAUGUGUCAUGUAGCGGUGAAAUGCUUAGAUAUGACACAGAACACCGAUCGCGAAGGCAGCUUACCAAGCAAUAACUGACGCUCAUGCACGAAAGCGUGGGGAUCAAACAGGAUUAGAUACCCUGGUAGUCCACGCCGUAAACGAUGAUCACUCGAUGUUGGCGAUACACAGUCAGCGUCUUAGGGAAACUAUUAAGUGAUCCACCUGGGGA
RNAcentral lists this ribosomal RNA (820 nucleotides) under uncultured bacterium. RNAcentral describes it as "bacterial SSU rRNA". It matches the Rfam family "Bacterial small subunit ribosomal RNA", at positions 62 to 879 of the family's 1533-position model. The record is from RNAcentral.